UGCAAGUCGAGCGAACUCUUCGGAGUUAGCGGCGGACGGGUUAGUAACGCGUGGGAAUAUACCCAAAGGUACGGAACAACAGUUGGAAACGACUGCUAAUACCGUAUGUGCCCUACGGGGGAAAGAUUUAUCGCCUUUGGAUUAGCCCGCGUUGGAUUAGGUAGUUGGUGGGGUAACGGCCUACCAAGCCUACGAUCCAUAGCUGGUUUGAGAGGAUGAUCAGCAACACUGGGCUGAGACACGGCCCAG
Molecule: ribosomal RNA, 249 nt
Filed under: uncultured bacterium
Lineage: Bacteria
Description: partial 16S ribosomal RNA
Rfam family: Bacterial small subunit ribosomal RNA
Source: RNAcentral